UACAGAGGGGCAAGCGUUGUUCGGAAUUACUGGGCGUAAAGGGCGCGUAGGCGGCCUGUUAAGUCGGACGUGAAAUCCCUCGGCUCAACCGGGGAACUGCGUCCGAUACUGGCGGGCUUGAAUUCGGGAGAGGGAUGUGGAAUUCCAGGUGUAGCGGUGAAAUGCGUAGAUAUCUGGAGGAACACCGGUGGCGAAGGCGGCAUCCUGGACCGACAUUGACGCUGAGGCGCGAAAGCCAGGGAG
This 243-nucleotide ribosomal RNA is filed under the name uncultured bacterium. Its description in RNAcentral is "partial 16S ribosomal RNA". It matches the Rfam family "Bacterial small subunit ribosomal RNA", at positions 524 to 767 of the family's 1533-position model. The record is from RNAcentral.